UGAAUGAUCCUCAAGGCAUUAGUGCUCAACCUGAAACAGAUGAACUCAACAUAAGCUCAGAAGACCACUAGGACUAGCCUAGGGUCAAAGAUGAAAGAAAAAAGUCAAGGCAGCAAGGAAAAGUCAACCCAAACCAAGUUUAAACAUUCAAGAAGCAUUCUCAAUUGGAUUCAUAAUUAUAUCAUGCAUCAUGGUCAUUUCAUAUGCAAAAGGAUGCAAAGCAUGGCAAGAGAAGCAUACAAAAGUCAACAGCAAAGACUUCAUUCAAAAGUCAACUCAAACAAUCUCAAAAA
Molecule: long non-coding RNA, 293 nt
Filed under: Lathyrus oleraceus (garden pea)
Lineage: Eukaryota; Viridiplantae; Streptophyta; Magnoliopsida; Fabales; Fabaceae
Description: Pisum sativum (pea) long non-coding RNA (PSAT_LNC040134)
Source: RNAcentral